AUGGAGGCGACCGCGGCGACGAGACGCCUCAUGGGGCUCUGCUGCUGCCUCUCUGGUGUUAUCCUGCUCUCCUUCCUGCUCCCCGGCGCACUGGCAGAGGAGCGAUUCUACGAGUUCGUUGUCCAGGAGACGGUGGUGAAGCGGCUGUGCCAGACGAACCGGAUCAUCACGGUGAACGGGCAGUUCCCGGGGCCGACCAUCGAGGUGCACAACGGCGACACGCUGGCGAUCAGGGCGGUGAACAUGGCGCAGUACAACGUGACCCUCCACUGGCACGGCCUCCGGCAGCUGCGGAACGGGUGGGCGGACGGGCCGGAGUUCGUGACGCAGUGCCCCAUCCGCCCGGGGUCCAGCUACACGUACCGCUACACCAUCCAGGAGCAGGAGGGCACCCUGUGGUGGCACGCGCACAGCUCCUGGCUCCGCGCCACCGUGCACGGCGCGCUCAUCAUCCUCCCCAAGCGCGGCAUGCCCUACCCCUUCCCCAAGCCCGACAAGGAGUUCCCAGUCGUCCUGGCGGAGUGGUGGAGGAGGGACCCGAUCGCGGUGCUCAGGCAGUCCAUGGUCACCGGUGCGCCGCCCAACGUCUCUGACACCAUCCUCAUCAACGGCCAGCCCGGGGAUUUCCUUCCGUGCUCCAGCCAAGAGACGAGCAUCAUUCCGGUGGUCGCUGGCGAGACGAACCUGCUGCGCAUCAUCAACGCGGCCAUGAACUCGGAGCUCUUCGUCUCCCUCGCCGGCCACAAGAUGACGGUGGUCGCCGCCGACGCCGUGUACACCAAGCCCUUCGAGACCACCGUCGUGCUCCUUGGUCCCGGACAGACCACCGACGUCCUCGUCACCGCCCACGCCGCCCCUGGCCGCUACUACCUCGGCGCCCGCGUCUACGCCUCUGCGCAGAACGUCCCCUUCGACAACACCACCGCCACCGCCGUCUUCCAGUACAAGAACGCGGCCGGCUGCCCGCCCACAGGGGCAGGCGCUGGCCUUGGAGGCCACACCGGCCUAGGCCGUCCCCGAUCCUCUGGCAAUCCCGGCCGCGCAGGGCCGGCGCCAAUGUUCCCAAUGCUGCCAGCGAACAACGACACGAACACGGCGACCGGGUUCUCGAACCUCAUCCGGAGCCCGAGGCCGGUGAAGGUGCCUGGACCGGUGACACAGGAGGUGUUCACCACGAUUGGCUUCGGUCUGUUCAACUGCCAGCCGGGCCCGUUCUGCCAGGGCCCCAACAACACCCGGUUCGGCGCGAGCAUGAACAACGUGUCCUUCCAGCUCCCCAACACCGUCUCCCUGCUCCAGGCGCACUACCACCGCAUCCCCGGCGUCUUCACCGAGGACUUCCCGGCUCGCCCGCCGGUGGUCUUCGACUACACCUCGCAGAACGUCCCCCGCGCGCUGUGGCAGCCCGUGAAGGGCACGCGGCUGUACCGCGUCAAGUACGGCGCCGUGGUGCAGAUGGUGUUCCAGGACACGGGCAUCUUCGCCGCGGAGGAGCACCCCAUGCACAUCCACGGCUACCACUUCUACGUGCUCGCCACCGGGUUCGGCAACUACAACCCCAGGCGGGACGAGGCCAAGUUCAACAUGGUCGACCCGCCCAGCCGGAACACCAUCGGCGUGCCUGUCGGCGGGUGGGCCGUGGUGCGCUUCCUGGCAGACAACCCGGGCGUGUGGCUCGUGCACUGCCACAUCGACGCGCAUCUCACCGGCGGGCUCGCCAUGGCGUUGGUGGUGGAGGACGGCAAGACCGAGCUCCAGACCACGAUGCCGCCGCCGCUCGACCUGCCCGUCUGCGGCCCGUAG
RNAcentral lists this ribosomal RNA (1803 nucleotides) under Triticum aestivum (bread wheat). Its description in RNAcentral is "partial small subunit ribosomal RNA". The record is from RNAcentral. Lineage: Eukaryota; Viridiplantae; Streptophyta; Magnoliopsida; Poales; Poaceae.